UACGUAGGGUGCGAGCGUUAAUCGGAAUUACUGGGCGUAAAGCGUGCGCAGGCGGUUUUGUAAGCCAGAUGUGAAAGCCCCGGGCUUAACCUGGGAAUGGCAUUUGGGACUGCAAGGCUGGAGUAUGGCAGAGGAGACUGGAAUUCCUGGUGUAGCAGUGAAAUGCGUAGAUAUCAGGAGGAAUACCGAUGGCGAAGGCAGGUCUCUGGGCUGACACUGACGCUCAUGCACGAAAGCGUGGGGAGCAAACAGG
This 253-nucleotide ribosomal RNA is filed under the name uncultured bacterium. Its description in RNAcentral is "partial 16S ribosomal RNA". It matches the Rfam family "Bacterial small subunit ribosomal RNA", at positions 524 to 776 of the family's 1533-position model. The record is from RNAcentral.